This 486-nucleotide ribosomal RNA is filed under the name uncultured bacterium. RNAcentral's name for it is "partial 16S ribosomal RNA". It matches the Rfam family "Bacterial small subunit ribosomal RNA", at positions 30 to 507 of the family's 1533-position model. The record is from RNAcentral.
AUUGAACGCUGGCGGCAUGCCUUACACAUGCAAGUCGAACGGCAGCACGGGUGCUUGCACCUGGUGGCGAGUGGCGAACGGGUGAGUAAUACAUCGGAACAUGUCCUGUAGUGGGGGAUAGCCCGGCGAAAGCCGGAUUAAUACCGCAUACGAUCUACGGAUGAAAGCGGGGGACCUUCGGGCCUCGCGCUAUAGGGUUGGCCGAUGGCUGAUUAGCUAGUUGGUGGGGUAAAGGCCUACCAAGGCGACGAUCAGUAGCUGGUCUGAGAGGACGACCAGCGACACUGGGACUGAGACACGGCCCAGACUCCUACGGGAGGCAGCAGUGGGGAAUUUUAGGCAAUGGGCGAAAGCCUGAUCCAGCAAUGCCGCGUGUGUGAAGAAGGCCUUCGGGUUGUAAAGCACUUUUGUCCGGAAAGAAAUCCUUGGCCCUAAUACGGUCGGGGGAUGACGGUACCGGAAGAAUAAGCACCGGCUAACUACGUG